GAUCCUGGCUCAGAUUGAACGCUGGCGGCAGGCCUAACACAUGCAAGUCGAACGGUAACAGGAAGCAGCUUGCUGCUUUGCUGACGAGUGGCGGACGGGUGAGUAAUGUCUGGGAAACUGCCUGAUGGAGGGGGAUAACUACUGGAAACGGUAGCUAAUACCGCAUAACGUCGCAAGACCAAAGAGGGGGGACCUCGGCCGUCCUUGUCCACUCGGAUGUGCCACGAUGGGAGUUAGCUUG
Molecule: ribosomal RNA, 241 nt
Filed under: uncultured bacterium
Lineage: Bacteria
Description: partial 16S ribosomal RNA
Rfam family: Bacterial small subunit ribosomal RNA
Source: RNAcentral